RNAcentral lists this transfer RNA (69 nucleotides) under Marmota monax (woodchuck). Its description in RNAcentral is "tRNA.Sup". The record is from RNAcentral. Lineage: Eukaryota; Metazoa; Chordata; Mammalia; Rodentia; Sciuridae.
GGAGAUACAGCUCAGUGGUAGAGUGCAUUCCUAACAUGUGCCUGGCCCUGGGUUCGAUCCCCAGCACCA